UGAACUGUUCACACCCACCCAGCUGCCA
RNAcentral lists this non-coding RNA (28 nucleotides) under Mus musculus (house mouse). The record is from RNAcentral. Lineage: Eukaryota; Metazoa; Chordata; Mammalia; Rodentia; Muridae.